GACGUAGGGCGCGAGCGUUGUCCGGAUUUAUUGGGCGUAAAGAGCUCGUAGGCGGCUUGUCGCGUCGUCCGUGAAAACCUGCAGCUCAACUGCAGGCUUGCGGUCGAUACGGGCAGGCUAGAGUUCGGUAGGGGAGACUGGAAUUCCUGGUGUAGCGGUGAAAUGCGCAGAUAUCAGGAGGAAGACCAGUGGCGAAGGCGGGUCUCUGGACAGUUCCUGACGCUGAGGCACGAAGGCCAGGGGAGCAAACGGG
RNAcentral lists this ribosomal RNA (253 nucleotides) under uncultured bacterium. RNAcentral describes it as "partial 16S ribosomal RNA". It matches the Rfam family "Bacterial small subunit ribosomal RNA", at positions 524 to 776 of the family's 1533-position model. The record is from RNAcentral.